RNAcentral lists this long non-coding RNA (436 nucleotides) under Glycine max (soybean). Its description in RNAcentral is "long non-coding RNA (GMAX_LNC001780)". Lineage: Eukaryota; Viridiplantae; Streptophyta; Magnoliopsida; Fabales; Fabaceae. The record is from RNAcentral.
AAAAGCAGAAGCACAAAAGAGAGAGCUAGCCUAAAACAGACAACAAAAGGAGGGGGAAAAAGGGCCAGCCUCAAGAGGGUGCAUAUCGCAGCAUAUCACAUACUAAUAUUUCUGUGCUAUGAUAGCAUUAAGUAAGCUGUGUCAUCUCAUGUUUGGAGAGAACAGAAGGAAAGAUUAUGCAAGAUGCUUCAGACAUAUUUCUCCUUCUCAUUAUUUGAUUUUUUUUUGGUUGUGAACUUAUGGUGCUUAUUCUCAGUACUGAAAUUUAUUUAAGGGACAAAUUUUUCUCAAUAGAUAUUAUUCUAUACCCGAUCCCACCUAGUGGGAUAAGGCGUUGUUGUUGUUGUUGUUAUUGUAGAUAUUAUUCUAUACACGCAGACCUAGGAUGAAACAACAGAUCACAUACUUAAGGAACAUGACUAUCUGACAAUCAUAC